CAACUCAAGGGUGCAACAGCUGCCUGCAGGUGUUAACCUGGAGUGUUUGAAGCACAGAUCUGGAGUCUGAUGACAGACCUCUACUCCCAUUUGGAGAAAAUGAGGUCAGCUGUAUCAACCAAAAAUGGAGCUCAUUGACCCUUCCAAUGGUAUUUCAUGUAAAAUAAAACAGUGCACAGUUGAAAUCAAGAGCUGAAUCCUUCUAAGAAGGAAGCCAAAUGGAUCAUAGAGAAGAAUCUGGCAGAAG
This 247-nucleotide long non-coding RNA is filed under the name Anser brachyrhynchus (Pink-footed goose). Its description in RNAcentral is "lncRNA (ENSABRG00000013784.1)". Lineage: Eukaryota; Metazoa; Chordata; Aves; Anseriformes; Anatidae. The record is from RNAcentral.